CAGUCGCCGCGGGAAUACGAAGGGGGCUAGCGUUGCUCGGAAUGACUGGGCGUAAAGGGCGCGUAGGCGGCGAUCAAAGUCAGGCGUGAAAUUCCUGGGCUCAACCUGGGGGCUGCGCUUGAUACUUGGUUGCUUGAGUGGGGAAGAGGGUCGUGGAAUUCCCAGUGUAGAGGUGAAAUUCGUAGAUAUUGGGAAGAACACCGGUGGCGAAGGCGGCGACCUGGUCCUUGACUGACGCUGAGGCGCGAAAGCGUGGGGAGCAAAUAGGAUUAGAUACCCGAGUAGUCCCUGUCUCUUAUAC
This 301-nucleotide ribosomal RNA is filed under the name uncultured bacterium. RNAcentral describes it as "partial 16S ribosomal RNA". It matches the Rfam family "Bacterial small subunit ribosomal RNA", at positions 509 to 807 of the family's 1533-position model. The record is from RNAcentral.